This 30-nucleotide non-coding RNA is filed under the name Rattus norvegicus (Norway rat). Lineage: Eukaryota; Metazoa; Chordata; Mammalia; Rodentia; Muridae. The record is from RNAcentral.
AGGGAUGACCAUGAAUUAGUGGGUUACCCA